ACUGUACAGAUAUUUUACCCAUCAGAGCUAAACUUUGGUCUAAGUGGCUAUAAAAGGAGAAGUAAAACUGAAACAGGUCUUUUUUGGACAUACAAACUCAUUUCAAACAAAC
Molecule: small nucleolar RNA, 112 nt
Filed under: Echinops telfairi (small Madagascar hedgehog)
Lineage: Eukaryota; Metazoa; Chordata; Mammalia; Afrosoricida; Tenrecidae
Description: Small nucleolar RNA SNORA61 (ENSETEG00000025125.1)
Source: RNAcentral